Molecule: ribosomal RNA, 253 nt
Filed under: uncultured bacterium
Lineage: Bacteria
Description: partial 16S ribosomal RNA
Rfam family: Bacterial small subunit ribosomal RNA
Source: RNAcentral
UACGUACCGUCCAAACGUUAUUCGGAAUUACUGGGCUUAAAGGGUACGUAGGCGGCGCUGUCAGUCGGGUGUGAAAUCCCAGGGCUCAACCCUGGAACUGCGCCCGAUACUGCAGCGCUUGAGGGAGACAGAGGUAAGCGGAACUGAUGGUGGAGCGGUGAAAUGCGUUGAUAUCAUCAGGAACACCAGUGGCGAAAGCGGCUUACUGGGUCUCUUCUGACGCUGAGGUACGAAAGCUAGGGGAGCGAAGGGG